This 152-nucleotide ribosomal RNA is filed under the name uncultured bacterium. RNAcentral describes it as "partial 16S ribosomal RNA". It matches the Rfam family "Bacterial small subunit ribosomal RNA", at positions 1348 to 1500 of the family's 1533-position model. The record is from RNAcentral.
AUCAGCACGCCGCGGUGAAUACGUUCCCGGGCCUUGUACACACCGCCCGUCACACCAUGGGAGCCGGUAAUACCCGAAGUCAGUAGUCCAACCUCGUGAGGACGCUGCCGAAGGUAGGAUUGGCGACUGGGGUGAAGUCGUAACAAGGUAGC